GGAGUUUGAUCCUGGCUCAGAGUAAACGUUGGUGGUAUGCAUUACACAUGCAAGUCGUACGAUUUUUUGAGCGGCUCGUCGCAAGGCGGGUUCGCACUUAAUUUAGUGGCGUACAGGUGAGUAAUGAAUAGGUAAUCUACCUUAUGGAUGUUGAUAAUUGAAAUAACUUUCUUGUAAACAACAAUAGCUUAGUUUUAACACAAGUUUUAACUAAUAAAGUAAUAAUAUUAGCCAUAAGAUGAGCUUAUUUUAGAUUAGAUAGUUGGUGUGGUAAUGGCGCACCAAGUCUAUGAUCUAUAGCUAUCCUUAAAGGGUGAAUAGCCACACUAGAAUUGGAAUACAGUCUAGCUUCUUGCGGGAAGCAGCAGUGAGGAAUAUUGGACAAUGCGGGAAACCGUGAUCCAGCAAUACCACGUGAAUGAUGAAGGCAUUAAUUUGUCGUAAAAUUCUUUUAUAAUACAGAAUACUGAUCAUAUUAUGAAUAAGCGCCGGCCAACCUUGUGCCAGCAACCGCGGUAAGACAAGGGGCGCAAACGUUACUCGGUUUCAAUGGGUUUAAAGGGUGCGUAGGUGUUUGUAUAAGUCUGAUGUUUGGAAGCAGCAUAACUGAAGAAAGGCGUUUGAUACUGUACAAAUUGAGAUUAAUGGAAGUUAAUGGAAUUUUUAGUGUAGAGGUGAAAUUCGUAGAUACUAGAAGGAACACCAGGGGCGAAGGCGAUUAACUAUUUUAAUCUGACACUGAGGCACGAAAGCGUGGGGAGUAAAAAGGAUUAGAGACCCUUGUAAUCCACGCCCUAAAAGAUGAGUAUUUGAUAUCGUAAAAUUUAUGAUUUUAUGGACGUCUAAGCAAAAGCAAUAAAUACUCCACCUGAGUAGUACGAUCGCAAGAUUAAAACUCAAAGGAAUUGACGGGAGCUCGCACAAGUGGUGGAACAUGUGGUUUAAUACGAUGGUCCUCGAAGAAUCUUACCAACCCUUGACAUGCUAUUGACAAAGUAGGCAACUACUCUUUCUAGCAAUAGACAAUAGUACAGGUGUUGCAUGGCUGUUUUCAGUUCGUGUCGUGAGACGUAUGAUUCAGUUCUUUAACGAACGAAACCCCUGAUCCUUGUUGCUAAUGUAAUUUUACAUGCACUCUAGGAUAGUAAAUAUUUAUAUUCUGUAUAGAUAUGGUAAUUGGGAUAACAACAGGUCUUCAUGGCCCUUAUGGGUUGGGCUACACACGUGUUACAAUGGUAGAUACAAUAAGAAGCGAAAAGGCGACUUGGAGCAAAUCUAGAAAAUCUAUCCCAGUCCAGAUUGCUUUCUGCAACUCGAAAGCAUGAAGAAGGAAUCACUAGUAAUCGUGAAUCAGCAAUGUCACGGUGAAUACGUUAUCGAGCUCUGUACACACCGCCCAUCAAGCUAUGGGAGGUAUGCUUAUUUGAAGGCAAUUUUAUAUUGUUCAGAAUAGGUGUAGCGACACUAGUUAAGUUGUAACAAGGUAAGGGUAGGAGAACCUGUACUUU
RNAcentral lists this ribosomal RNA (1508 nucleotides) under Radix auricularia. Its description in RNAcentral is "bacterial SSU rRNA". It matches the Rfam family "Bacterial small subunit ribosomal RNA". Lineage: Eukaryota; Metazoa; Mollusca; Gastropoda; Lymnaeidae. The record is from RNAcentral.